This 253-nucleotide ribosomal RNA is filed under the name uncultured bacterium. RNAcentral's name for it is "partial 16S ribosomal RNA". It matches the Rfam family "Bacterial small subunit ribosomal RNA", at positions 524 to 776 of the family's 1533-position model. The record is from RNAcentral.
UACGGAGGGGGCUAGCGUUGUUCGGAAUAACUGGGCGUAAAGCGCAUGUAGGCGGAUCUUUAAGUCAGAGGUGAAAUCCCAGGGCUCAACCCCGGCAUUGCCUUUGAUACUGGAGAUCUGGAGUCUGGGAUAGUUGAGUGGAAUUCCGAGUGUAGAGGUGAAAUUCGUAGAUAUUCGGAGGAACACCAGUGGCGAAGGCGGCUCACUGGCCCGAGACUGACGCUGAGAUGCGAAAGCGUUGGGAGCAAACAGG